Herpailurus yagouaroundi (jaguarundi) is the source of this 441-nucleotide long non-coding RNA. RefSeq lists it as uncharacterized. Lineage: Eukaryota; Metazoa; Chordata; Mammalia; Carnivora; Felidae. The record is from RefSeq and is a predicted model, not a curated record. The transcript is spliced from 3 exons.
UACUGGCAGUCAACCACAGUCCAGAAGCAGAUGAUCCUUCUCCUGAUGUAUUGUCAUGUCAAUAGCAACCUAACGCUAUGUCACAAUGCCUACAUCAUUCACUUCACUCCAUCUCAUCAAAUAGGCAUCUUAUCAACUCACAUCACCACAAGGUCUCCUGUCAGUGCUUUGCCCUGGCAAAACCUAACCGGAGCCUGUGACAUGUGGUUGACAGGUUGCCGACCCCUUGCAAUCCAGAAGAGUUCUCAGAAAGGCUCGCAGUGGGGUUGAGAGCCAACAGUACACAACCAGCACAAGCGCAUGCUCUGUCUGAUGAGAACGUCUAGAAGCAGUGACACUUCAAUAGCAAGGAACACACCCCGAGCCCGGAUCUUGGUUUUUAUUUAUUUAUUUAUUUAUUUAUUUAUUUUUUAAUUUUUUUUUUCAGCGUUUAUUUUUAUU